RNAcentral lists this ribosomal RNA (468 nucleotides) under uncultured bacterium. RNAcentral's name for it is "partial 16S ribosomal RNA". It matches the Rfam family "Bacterial small subunit ribosomal RNA", at positions 28 to 507 of the family's 1533-position model. The record is from RNAcentral.
GACGAACGCUGGCGGCGUGCUUAACACAUGCGAGUCGAACGGAAAGGACCUGCUUUUGUGGGGUGCUCGAGUGGCGAACGGGUGAGUAACACGUGAGUAACCUGCCCUUGACUUUGGGAUAACUUCAGGAAACUGGGGCUAAUACCGGAUAGGAGCUCCUGCUGCAUGGUGGGGGUUGGAAAGUUUCGGCGGUUGGGGAUGGACUCGCGGCUUAUCAGCUUGUUGGUGGGGUAGUGGCUUACCAAGGCUUUGACGGGUAGCCGGCCUGAGAGGGUGACCGGCCACAUUGGGGCUGAGAUACGGCCCAGACUCCUACGGGAGGCAGCAGUGGGGAAUAUUGCACAAUGGGCGGAAGCCUGAUGCAGCAACGCCGCGUGCGGGAUUACGGCCUUCGGGUUGUAAACCGCUUUCGCCUGUGACGAAGCGUGAGUGACGGUAAUGGAUAAAGAAGCACCGGCUAACUACGUG